RNAcentral lists this ribosomal RNA (254 nucleotides) under uncultured bacterium. Its description in RNAcentral is "partial 16S ribosomal RNA". It matches the Rfam family "Bacterial small subunit ribosomal RNA", at positions 524 to 777 of the family's 1533-position model. The record is from RNAcentral.
UACGGAGGAUCCAAGCGUUAUCCGGAAUCAUUGGGUUUAAAGGGUCCGUAGGCGGUUUGGUAAGUCAGUGGUGAAAGCCCAUCGCUCAACGGUGGAACGGCCAUUGAUACUGCCAGACUUGAAUUAUUAGGAAGUAACUAGAAUAUGUAGUGUAGCGGUGAAAUGCUUAGAGAUUACAUGGAAUACCAAUUGCGAAGGCAGGUUACUACUAAUGGAUUGACGCUGAUGGACGAAAGCGUGGGUAGCGAACAGGA